This 294-nucleotide ribosomal RNA is filed under the name Triticum aestivum (bread wheat). RNAcentral describes it as "partial small subunit ribosomal RNA". Lineage: Eukaryota; Viridiplantae; Streptophyta; Magnoliopsida; Poales; Poaceae. The record is from RNAcentral.
AUGAAGACCUACAUCGCCAACCACUGGUGGGGUGUCGAAGACGGCCGUCAAAAAAUGCAUUGGUGUUCUUGGGCGUGGCUUUCUACCCCAAAGUUCCUCGGUGGAAUGGGCUUCCGCGACUUGGUACUUUUCAACCAGGCGAUGCUUGCGCGUCAGUGUUGGCGUCUCCUGACCGAACCCGACUCUUUGUGUGCGAGGGUCUUAAAGGGACGCUACUUCCCUGAUGGGGAUUUUUGGACCGCCACCAAGCCAAGAUCAUCUUCCUUCACCUGGCGAUUUUUGCUUUUUGGGCGU